RNAcentral lists this transfer RNA (19 nucleotides) under Streptocarpus caeruleus. RNAcentral's name for it is "partial tRNA-Cys". The record is from RNAcentral. RNAcentral also lists the same sequence under 1 other name. Lineage: Eukaryota; Viridiplantae; Streptophyta; Magnoliopsida; Lamiales; Gesneriaceae.
UUCAAUCCGGGUGUCGCCU